GAUGAGCGCUGGCGGCGUGCCUAAUACAUGCAAGUCGAGCGAACGGACGAGAAGCUUGCUUCUCUGAUGUUAGCGGCGGGCGGGUGAGUAACACGUGGAUAACCUACCUAUAAGACUGGGAUAACUUCGGGAAACCGGAGCUAAUACCGGAUAAUAUUUUGAACCGCAUGGUUCAAAAGUGAAAGACGGUCUUGCUGUCACUUAUAGAUGGAUCCGCGCUGCAUUAGCUAGUUGGUAAGGUAACGGCUUACCAAGGCAACGAUGCAUAGCCGACCUGAGAGGGUGAUCGGCCACACUGGAACUGAGACACGGUCCAGACUCCUACGGGAGGCAGCAGUAGGGAAUCUUCCGCAAUGGGCGAAAGCCUGACGGAGCAACGCCGCGUGAGUGAUGAAGGUCUUCGGAUCGUAAAACUCUGUUAUUAGGGAAGAACAUAUGUGUAAGUAACUGUGCACACCUUGACGGUACCUAAUCAGAAAGCCACGGCUAACUACGUG
This 497-nucleotide ribosomal RNA is filed under the name uncultured bacterium. RNAcentral's name for it is "partial 16S ribosomal RNA". It matches the Rfam family "Bacterial small subunit ribosomal RNA", at positions 28 to 507 of the family's 1533-position model. The record is from RNAcentral.